CAUGUGGUUUAAUUCGAUGCAACGCGAAGAACCUUACCUGGUCUUGACAUCCACGGAAGUUUUCAGAGAUGAGAAUGUGCCUUCGGGAACCGUGAGACAGGUGCUGCAUGGCUGUCGUCAGCUCGUGUUGUGAAAUGUUGGGUUAAGUCCCGCAACGAGCGCAACCCUUAUCCUUUGUUGCCAGCGGUCCGGCCGGGAACUCAAAGGAGACUGCCAGUGAUAAACUGGAGGAAGGUGGGGAUGACGUCAAGCCAUCAUGGCCCUUACGACCAGGGCUACACACGUGCUACAAUGGCGCAUACAAAGAGAAGCGACCUCGCGAGAGCAAGCGGACCUCAUAAAGUGCGUCGUAGUCCGGAUUGGAGUCUGCAACUCGACUCCAUGAAGUCGGAAUCGCUAGUAAUCGUGGAUCAGAAUGCCACGGUGAAUAUGUCCCUGCUCCUU
This 444-nucleotide ribosomal RNA is filed under the name uncultured Enterobacteriaceae bacterium. RNAcentral's name for it is "bacterial SSU rRNA". It matches the Rfam family "Bacterial small subunit ribosomal RNA", at positions 938 to 1382 of the family's 1533-position model. The record is from RNAcentral. Lineage: Bacteria; Pseudomonadati; Pseudomonadota; Gammaproteobacteria; Enterobacterales; Enterobacteriaceae.